UUGACUGGGUAAUUAACCCAGACUAUCACCGCCAGUCUGCGGCACAGCUUGGUUUCUUGCUCAUGUCACUUAACCAUGCACUACUACUGAAAAGCUGCUACAAAUCCUAUGCUUACCUGACCACAGGGCUUCCAUCCUGCAUCACAAUUGUCCCUUCAGGCACCUGCUUCUGUCACCAGGCUGUGAGGCGAUGAGGGCGGAUACCUGAUUUGUAUCCCGCACCCACCCUCAGCUCAGGCCUAAGGGCUGAAUACAGGAGAAGUUAGGACGGACUAGGGUCCUGGCUUAUCGAUGCCGAUAGGCCUGGAUUCCAGCUGGGCUACGACUGAGAAAGGGGCACAGGAAACUCCUGGAAGGGCAGGGAGCCCCCAGGGCCUCAGCUCUGGUUGAUGGGCCAAGGCCAUCUCUAGGUAGACUGAACUUCAGGGCCCCACUGAGGAAUCUGUACCAGCACAGGACCCCAGCCUUGUGUUCAGCCAAUAACGAUCAGCAGCACCCGUGGGCCCCCCAUCCAGACAUUCAUAAACACCCAGCAGAAGGCAGAAGUGACAUACCAGCUGCCUGUUCUCAGCCUGUCCAGAGCCACCACUGUUGACUGGUCAAGGGAAUCCAGGAGAGUGUGCACACAGCUAAACCACAUGGACCCUCUGGUCCUUUGCACACAGAGCGGCCAUGGAUCAGAGCCUCCCAUACCUCCCUCGGGCCCCUUGCUAAAUCUAUAGGCCCAGCUGCUCACAGUGCUGGAUGGAAAGCCCAAGAUCAAGGCACUGACAGAUUUGAUAUCUCAGAGGGCUGGUCUCUCUGUCUCCAAGGUGUCUUCUUGCAUUGUCUUCACCUGACAAGAGGCAGAAAGGCAAAGGGACCAGCUCCCUUCCUCAAACCUACUUUCAACCCACUCUCCAGGCCAGGCCCCUCCUGACCCAGUCACCUCCCAGAGACUCCACCUCUUAGGAUCACUGCAUUGGAUAUGCGUUUCAACAUGUUUAAACAUCAACAAAACAUGCAAACAAUAGCACAGCCCCAUUCCAGAGUGCUUGGGAAUAGCUGCCUCCUUUAUCCCAGCACCCAGGGAGCUUAGGAGAGCUCUGCCUCUGGAACCACUCUGGACCUGGAGACAUACAAUCUCUGCUUAAGUGACAAGCUGGGGUUUGGGGGAGCUCACAGCUUUCUGGGAUGGAUGGGAGCCUCCAGGUGUGCCAUCCUCCUGCUGUAGCAAGAAGGCUUUAUGCUAAACACUUCACCUGGAGUGUGAAAUGAGGCUCCUUUUAAAUCAAACUAGACUAAGAACACCCCGAUGCUUGCAUUCUUACGUAGGAAGCUGCAACCUCAAAAUGCUGAUGCCCUGAGAGCUUAACCCAGGAAUUUGCCUUUGUAACAAACAGCUGAGCCUCCGCAAUCCCAGCAGGUGUACCAGUCGGUCCCAAGUGGCCAACUGUUCAUACCUGCUCAGGUGAGGUAGACCCUGGGCUGUAACAACUCCACCCACGCCCGCUCCUCACUUCCAUUUCCUGAACAGCACUUCUCCUUUUCGGUCUAUAAAUGUUAUCCCGCCCUGUGACAGCCUUAGGGCCUUUACGCACCCCUUCUGGGUUCUGAGUCUUCCUGGUUCACAAAUUGCUCUUUGUUCAAUUAAACUUUUAAAUUUAGCUUCAAGUUUUUCUUUUUGAAAAG
Chinchilla lanigera (long-tailed chinchilla) is the source of this 1671-nucleotide long non-coding RNA. NCBI's taxonomy places the organism in Eukaryota, Metazoa, Chordata, Mammalia, Rodentia, Chinchillidae. The record is from Ensembl.